Molecule: ribosomal RNA, 253 nt
Filed under: uncultured bacterium
Lineage: Bacteria
Description: partial 16S ribosomal RNA
Rfam family: Bacterial small subunit ribosomal RNA
Source: RNAcentral
UACAGGGGGGGCAAGCGUUGUUCGGAAUUACUGGGCGUAAAGGGCUCGUAGGCGGCCAACUAAGUCACACGUGAAAUCCCCAGGCUUAACCUGGGAACUGCGUGUGAUACUGGAUGGCUUGAAUUCGGGAGAGGGAUGCAGAAUUCCAGGUGUAGCGGUGAAAUGCGUAGAUAUCUGGAGGAAUACCGGUGGCGAAGGCGGCAUCCUGGACCGAGAUUGACGCUGAGGAGCGAAAGCCAGGGGAGCAAACGGG